Molecule: long non-coding RNA, 391 nt
Organism: Heterocephalus glaber (naked mole-rat)
Lineage: Eukaryota; Metazoa; Chordata; Mammalia; Rodentia; Bathyergidae
Source: Ensembl
AGCAGGUCAUUUUGUUAGCAGAUGGAAGGCAAGCGACUCAGCCAUUGAACCCCCACCCCCGCUUUGAGUACCCAGACGCCUGGACCUAGGACAUCAUCCUCAGGUGAGGCCAAAUCCAGCUUCUCCAUAAAACCAGGAAGAAGAGCAAGCAGGACUGCCAGGGUGGAACCCGAGGAAGGAAAAUCCUUCACAGACCACAGAUGGCAUUGUUUGCAAUGAAGAGAAAUGUAGAUAAGAGGAAAGAUGCAGUGACUUACUUGGAUUUUCUAUAUAAAUCAUCACAGCACCUGAAAGCACAGAGUACAGAUAUCCUGUGAGUACUGUGACAAUGCAUGCUGGAGAAAUGGCAGUCCACAUAUCCACCCACUGAAGGUGAGCUGGUUGAACACUG